UUAUUGGAGAGUUUGAUCCUGGCUCAGGACGAACGCUGGCGGCGUGCCUAAUACAUGCAAGUCGAGCGGACUUGUG
Molecule: ribosomal RNA, 76 nt
Filed under: Cytobacillus citreus
Lineage: Bacteria; Bacillati; Bacillota; Bacilli; Caryophanales; Bacillaceae
Description: partial 16S ribosomal RNA
Rfam family: Bacterial small subunit ribosomal RNA
Source: RNAcentral